GCAAACCCUAGAUCCGUUUGUGCAGAAAGACCUCUGAUAGCCUUGACGAAGACGAGAUUGAUGUUGGGAUCGUCGAUCUAACUAGUCAAACUACCCGGUACUCGAGAUCCACGGUGGUAUCGUGUAUGCUGUCACACUUCGUGCCUUCCAAAGGUGCCUAGAGGACGGGCCAAAUGUAGCAGAGCGACAACUCGGGAGUGGACUCCCUAUUAGCAGGGGGCAGGAGACGGCCAUCUUGAGGCGUAUCAUGACCUACAAGCAAGAUCGGCGAGACUUGUGAAGGCAACUUGAUUGGAAGUCAGAGGAUCCAUAGUACCUGAAGCCCCACGGAACAAAGGAGAAAGGGAAGGAAGGCAAAGCCCUAAGCUUUUUGCCUCUGCUCAAGAUCGGAAAAGUUAUCUUCUCUUCUCAUCUAUCGCGAUUUCUUUGAGAAUCUUCUUUCUUCCUCCAGCAUCAUCAGCCACUCCUCCGAUCCUUGUCUUUCUGAUCGCCUGCUGCCUUUUCUCUCUCGAGACUCCGAUUGUUCCUAGACUCACAAAGAAGUCACUCCAUUGAGACUUAAAAGUUUUCCCAUUUCGAAGAAUUAUCUUUGAUAUAUGCGAAUGAUCGAGCUACUGGAAAUGAUGCUUAAACUGCUGAAGAUAUUCUCAAAGAGAUGGAGCUUGAAGAUAUGACAAAUGAAGGAGAAACUAAGGUUAAUAUAUUAAAUUAAAAUGAAUCCUCUAAUGCGAAUACCCCCACAUCAAAAGACGUUUUGCGUGCUCAUUUGCCACCUCGAGAGGAACCAGAAAGUGCUUCUUCGGGAAGAAAGAGGAAAAAGAAUCAAGCUGACUUAUUAACAAUUUAUGAGGUCGUGAACACUAUGGCAACUGAUAUGAAAGAGUCUUGUGUGAUACUCUCAAAGUGUGUUUACUCUGACAUUGUUCAAGAAAAGUUCCCUCAACUUCUGGGAGCACUUUGUAGUGUUGAUGGCCUUGCUUUAGUACAAGUGUGCAUGGCUAUUCGAAAGUCCUGCUAUUUUUUGGUACCGACUCUGAAGACCGCUUGGAAAUUGUUCAUGAUUUCCUUGCAAAUGAUUAAAGAAGGGCCACAAGUUGAACUUCUUCGUGGAGCUUUUUUGGGCUCUUGCUGUUAAGGUAAAAAUAAAAUUGCUCUAAUGCUGAAAUAAUAGUUUGGUUCUUUUUUGCAAUAAUAAUAGUAUGAAGGUGAUUUGGUUUUU
This is a non-coding RNA of Punica granatum (pomegranate), 1219 nucleotides long. Lineage: Eukaryota; Viridiplantae; Streptophyta; Magnoliopsida; Myrtales; Lythraceae. The record is from RefSeq and is a predicted model, not a curated record.